Eptesicus fuscus (big brown bat) is the source of this 184-nucleotide long non-coding RNA. RefSeq lists it as uncharacterized. Lineage: Eukaryota; Metazoa; Chordata; Mammalia; Chiroptera; Vespertilionidae. The transcript has 3 exons. The record is from RefSeq and is a predicted model, not a curated record.
CAAUGGAAUCUAAUCAAAGGAAAAGCAAUGGAAAGAAAAAAGAAGCAAGGAAAUGGAAAGUCCAGAGAUUGCAGCUUUGGCAGCCACUGAAGGACCAGUGUGGUGGGGAGCCCAGACGACAGGUCAGCUGAGAAUAUACAGCCUUCCCACUGGACUCCUCCCUGUGUAUUCUCCUCCUCAAUUU